GCGCGCUCUCUGCAGAAAAGGAUUUUCUACGCUCCCCGCCCAUCACUUGGAUCUCGUCUGGGGAGGGGCGGAUUUUUUUUCUGGAAGUACCCUUCUUCUCCACGGUGGAGGAUUUAAGGCUGGGCUCCAAUCGAGGCGGAGGCUGCAGGGCCCGCGGGGCGCCCCCCGCCCGGCGCACGCCUGCCCGGAGCCCGGGAAGGCGCAGCCCUGGGUGGGGGGGCCCGUGCACCCCCGGAGGCGGCAGCGGCGGUGAGUGCUCCCCUUCUUCCCGCCUGGCACCUUCCGCCAGCCAAGGCAGGGAUCGCGGCAGAUAAACCUGCCAGUAAUUUCAGCAAAUGAAACGUGGAACACGUCAAGGCCAGAGGAUGGAAAAGGCUCCAGUUUUGAUAAAAGGAGGCCUGCUUGGCUUGGAAUCCUCUCUCCUGCUGGUUGGGAGAUGCAAAGAUGUUUCCAGAGAGGGGCUGAUGAAUUGAGGGGAAAGAAAUGAGCCCAGUAUGAGUCCCCUUUCAGGGCUGAGCGUGUAUAAAACCAAACAACUUGGAACCGCUCCAAGAGAGGGGAUUAAAGCAACAUGUUAUUCUGAGUGAUUGCUUAAUUUAUUGAGCUGCGGCUGGAUCUGUAAUGAAAUACAGCCCUUGUAACUGAUAACCUCCUGCUGCCAUUGAACUUCUACAAUUAAGGAAUAUUUUCUGAGUUUCUCUGGAACGGCUCUGAAUUUUUAGCCUCUGUGGUAGGGUGCUUCUGAACAUUUGUUUUCCAGGCAAUUUUUUUUGAGUAUUAGGCUGAUGUUAAUAAAUAAGCAGCAUUUUAUUGAG
RNAcentral lists this long non-coding RNA (815 nucleotides) under Homo sapiens (human). Its description in RNAcentral is "non-protein coding MIR193BHG:35". The record is from RNAcentral. Lineage: Eukaryota; Metazoa; Chordata; Mammalia; Primates; Hominidae.